Hyla sarda is the source of this 341-nucleotide long non-coding RNA. RefSeq lists it as uncharacterized. NCBI's taxonomy places the organism in Eukaryota, Metazoa, Chordata, Amphibia, Anura, Hylidae. The record is from RefSeq and is a predicted model, not a curated record. The transcript is spliced from 3 exons.
UUUACUGGACAUAUCACUGAUACGGGACGAGAAUGGAUGGAUUCAAACAGACGUAUAUCGAAAGAGUACAGUCGUCAACAGUUAUUUACAUGCAACAUCCUCACAUCCCAUUUCCACCAUUAAUGCAAUACCCACAGGGGAUAUAGCAACAGGAGUAUCAAGAAAGCAUUGGACAGAGCAAAGAGUGCCAGCAGACAUCAACUCCUACAAACAAGUGAACGUGGCAAUGACAGUGACAAGAUUCGUAUAGUUCUCUGUGUACCCACAUCAAGCAUCCUGCCUACAUGUUUGGUUUCAUCCAUCAGCGCCCACCUUCAAAUUGAAGAUAUCAGCCAUCUAAC